RNAcentral lists this ribosomal RNA (451 nucleotides) under uncultured bacterium. Its description in RNAcentral is "bacterial SSU rRNA". It matches the Rfam family "Bacterial small subunit ribosomal RNA", at positions 29 to 524 of the family's 1533-position model. The record is from RNAcentral.
AACGAACGCUGGCGGCAUGCCUAACACAUGCAAGUCGAACGAAGCCUUCGGGCUUAGUGGCGCACGGGUGCGUAACGCGUGGGAAUCUGCCCUUGGGUUCGGAAUAACAGUUAGAAAUGACUGCUAAUACCGAAUGAUGUCUUCGGACCAAAGAUUUAUCGCCCAAGGAUGAGCCCGCGUCGGAUUAGCUAGUUGGUGAGGUAAAGGCUCACCAAGGCGACGAUCCGUAGCUGGUCUGAGAGGAUGAUCAGCCACACUGGGACUGAGACACGGCCCAGACUCCUACGGGAGGCAGCAGUGGGGAAUAUUGGGACAAUGGGCGAAAGCCUGAUCCAGCAAUGCCGCGUGAGUGAUGAAGGCCUUAGGGUUGUAAAGCUCUUUUACCCGGGAUGAUAAUGACAGUACCGGGAGAAUAAGCCCCGGCUAACUCCGUGCCAGCAGCCGCGGUAAU